UGGGGAAUAUUGGACAAUGGGCGAAAGCCUGAUCCAGCCAUGCCGCGUGUGUGAAGAAGGCCUUAUGGUUGUAAAGCACUUUAAGCGAGGAGGAGGGUACUGGUAUUAAUACUACCAGGUACUGGACGUUACUCGCAGAAUAAGCACCGGCUAACUCUGUGCCAGCAGCCGCGGUAAUACAGAGGGUGCGAGCGUUAAUCGGAUUUACUGGGCGUAAAGCGUGCGUAGGCGGCUAAUUGAGUCGGAUGUGAAAUCCCCGAGCUUAACUUGGGAAUUGCAUUCGAUACUGGUUAGCUAGAGUGUGGGAGAGGAUGGUAGAAUUCCAGGUGUAGCGGUGAAAUGCGAAGAGAUCUGGAGGAAUACCGAUGGCGAAGGCAGCCAUCUGGCCUAACACUGACGCUGAGGUACGAAAGCAUGGGGAGCAAACAGG
RNAcentral lists this ribosomal RNA (430 nucleotides) under Pseudomonadota bacterium. Its description in RNAcentral is "Proteobacteria bacterium partial 16S ribosomal RNA". It matches the Rfam family "Bacterial small subunit ribosomal RNA", at positions 355 to 776 of the family's 1533-position model. Lineage: Bacteria; Pseudomonadati; Pseudomonadota. The record is from RNAcentral.